CAAAAGACAACAAAAUUAUGUUUUCUUUUGAAUGGUUUGACUAUUUCAACCUACUACAUUAUUGUUUGGUUAGUUUUCCAACUUAAAAUUUUAGCCUUCGUAAUUUUUCUUGAAAAUGUCUCUCGUAAUAUAUAUCAUCAUGGAAUAUUUUUUUUUCCAUGAUAUCAACGAAUAUACAAUAUAGAUGAAAAACCAUUUUUAAUGGAAGGCAUCAUCAAUCAAAAGUAACUAACUUUAAUGUUUCCAAUCCAAUAGUGCUUUGGUUCACCAUGUGGGCUAAUUAAAUCUACUCUAAUGGAUCAUAUUCAACAUUGAAUAUGUAUUGGAAUGUCACUAGAUCGUAUUAAGUGGAACCGAGAAAUGGAAUGUUAUAAAUUCUAAUAUUGGUGAAGGACUCUGAUAUAAUAUAUUAUGAGUUUUAUAGUAUAUUUAGUUGGAGGGGUUUGAAGGGGAAGUAAUAUUUAUUAAAAAAAAAUGUUUAAUUUCUAAUUUUAAGAGGAGAUGAGAGCAAAAUCACUCCUUUAAGUGAUUUUUGUUCUCCUUCCAUUUCAGGAAGAGUUGGAGGGGAAGAGAGAGCUGAUAUAACUUAAAAACCAUUUACAAUAUUUUUUUUCCCUUGAACUAAACACAAAACCAUUAAAAUCCAUCUAUUCUCCUCUUUUAAACCAAACAUCUCUCCAUUUACCCUCCUUCCCCCUUCAUCAAAAUUCCUCUCAUCUCAUCUCAUCUCAUCUCAUCUCAUCCAUUCCAUCAAAUAGCCUUAGGUGCUGCUAGUCCUUGCUUCUCAAGUGGAAUCUUAGCUGGAGAAUUUGCUAUUCCUGAGAACCUUUUGCAUCUCUUAUAGGAACACUAUACAUUUGUUGCCCCAACACAUUUGUCAAGGUCGUGUGCAACUAUCAACAACAAUAUACAUUGUCAACAUACCACAUAUAUGUGUGUCGGGUGAGUUGGAUCUGCUCCAAGGGCCCCUAACUGAAAUAGUUGAUGAUUUGACAUUCAUCAUGCUUUCCGUACUCAAGAUUGAAUACCACUUCCUCUAUAAUUAAGAUCAUUGCCAUACAUAUCAUAGGGAAGUGAACAUUUCCACUUUACGAGAAACACAAAGAGCGAGCUUUCAUUGCAUGAUGGCCCCAUUGUGUAGCAAGUGUGAGUUAGAAAUUUCACAUUGCUUAGAAAAGUGAUGGUUGAGGAACAUAAAAGUGAGAUAACUCAUUAAUACAUUGUCUUAAAGUUUUGGGUUAAGAUGUUUUGUUCAACUAACUUGUGUGGUUGUUUUUGGCUAAUAUGGAUAAACUCAUUUUAUUAAGAUUUUGGAUUAAGAUGUGGUAUCCAAAUCACUUGUAUGGUUACCCUUGGCCUAAUGUGAAUGAUCCCUUGGACUUGUUUUAUGACCCAACAAGUCAAAGUUAGGAGACCAUUAGUAGUUGCCAUUUUCAUGAAGUUGUUUCCCUUUGAAAACAAGAUGCACACCACACAAUAGUGGGUCAAUGGCUCUCUAUUACUUCUUUGUGCCUAAUAUUGGUCAUUGCUAUGUCAAUAUCAAAAUGAUUAUAGUCGAGAUCAGGAGCGCUCGGAACAAAUACCUCUAUCAUGGUCUAGGAGUCAAGGAAAUGAGUUGAGUCUUUAUUCCUAUGAAGAAUUAAUUUCUAUGGUACAACUUGAGGAUAGUUCAAGAAGAAUCAACAAUAUAAGAUCAAAGAAUUGUCUGAAAAUACAAAGUACAAUACAACCUGUAAAGUUAUGUCAUGUCUGCAAACUCAACAUUUUGUACAUUUACAAUAAAUGUUUUUCUCAACUCAAUGAAUCAUUUCUCAACA
Molecule: non-coding RNA, 1817 nt
Organism: Cicer arietinum (chickpea)
Lineage: Eukaryota; Viridiplantae; Streptophyta; Magnoliopsida; Fabales; Fabaceae
Source: RefSeq, a predicted model, not a curated record